CUUUUCCUCAUUCUUUCUCUGUUUUUCUCUCUCUUAGUCAAGAGGUGGUUUCAGAGCAAUAACGAUGAUAGCAUACAGCAAACUGGUAUCCUAGUCUCUUUGAAGUGUCCCAUUACUUUUAAGAGGAUACAGCUACCAGCCAGAGGAGCUGAUUGUAAACAUAUACAGUGUUUUGACUUGCAGUCUUAUUUACAACUCAACUGUGACAGAGGUACGUGGAGAUGUCCCGUUUGCAACAACAGCGCACAGCUAGAAGGACUUGAGGUGGAUCAGUAUAUAUGGGGAAUACUCUCUGGAGUCAAUAACAACAAAAUGGAGGUGGAGGAGAUAACGAUCGAUCCUAGUGCCAAUUGGAAAGCACAUUCCAGAGAGACUGAUGAAGAAGGUAUGUAUAUGUACAUGUAGUCCAUGG
Amphimedon queenslandica is the source of this 412-nucleotide long non-coding RNA. RefSeq lists it as uncharacterized. NCBI's taxonomy places the organism in Eukaryota, Metazoa, Porifera, Demospongiae, Haplosclerida, Niphatidae. The transcript has 3 exons. The record is from RefSeq and is a predicted model, not a curated record.